Molecule: ribosomal RNA, 364 nt
Filed under: uncultured bacterium
Lineage: Bacteria
Description: bacterial SSU rRNA
Rfam family: Bacterial small subunit ribosomal RNA
Source: RNAcentral
GGGCCCGCACAAGCGGUGGAGCAUGUGGUUUAAUUCGAUGAUACGCGAGGAACCUUACCAGGGCUUAAAUGUAGUCUGACAGGGUGGAAACACCUCCUCCUUCGGGCAGAUUACAAGGUGCUGCAUGGUUGUCGUCAGCUCGUGCCGUGAGGUGUUAGGUUAAGUCCUGCAACGAGCGCAACCCCUAUUCUUAGUUGCCAGCGUUCGGCCGGGACUCUAAGAAGACUGCCAGCGCAAGCUGAGAGGAAGGUGGGGAUGACGUCAAAUCAUCACGGCCCUUACGUCCUGGGCUACACACGUGCUACAAUGGUACAGACAGAGGGCAGCCACCUGGCGACAGGAGCGAAUCCUUAAACUGUAUCUC